CUCUGUGGCAUGGAGCAUUCCUGGGGGAAUGCAGAGGAUGCCAGCCUUCAAGGUAAACUGACUUGUAUUUCAAAGGACUGAUUAUUCAGAAUUGUCCCGAGCCUCACAGGGAGGUGCUGAGGAAAGGCAGAGGAAACAUUUGGAUCCCCAAUGGGACGAAGCCACCGGUACAGAGAGGACGAUGGUGUCAUUGGCGUAGAGCCCAGGAAAGUUCAUCACAGAAACAGUGCUGGAAGAAAGUAGAAGAAAAAAGCUUUGGGGGCUGGAGAUCAAGACGUUCCAGGAAACGUCUGGCACAUAUCAAUGCACGUGAGGUAGGAGGCAGAGUGUGGAGGUGGUGGCGUUUCAGUUUAGUGUGCUCCAGCUCUCUCCCUCCUUCUUUCCCUCUGGAUGCCCUUUUCUCUACCCUCUCCCCCACUGCCCCCUCCUGGACCUCCAGGUGCCAAGUUAGCACCGUCGUGUUAGCCCAGCCCCUAGAGGAGGCACCUUGCCCAGGCCUGCACACCUACUUCGGGAUCGCAACCACAAAUGCCUGCAGGUGCCAGCCAGAAGAAUGAGUUGCCCAGUGAUGGCUUUAUGCUACCAUCAGUUGAAGAUCCAAGAUGGAAACCUAAAGUCCACAUUUUUCCUGCUAUGCCAAGCUACCCUUAAACAGUAAAAUAUGAACCCACAGAUGAGGAAGAGCUCGAGAAAAAUAAAUGAAAUGCUGAGGAAUUGGCAUACCCCUCCCGAAGAAGGAAGCAAAAUUUAUGAACUUCAGAAUUAAAUUCAAAGGAUAUAGUACUUGGUGAAUUGCACAAAGGAUCACUCAAUCCUUCCAACCGAGGAGAGAAACUGUGAUUGGAAAGCUCCCUUCCCAAAGGUGUGCCCCCUGAAUUCUGGGAUUGCAUAAUGUGAGUGCAAAUGAAAGUCAAGUCAAUGAAAGCAGUCAAGGAGGGACAAGAGAGGAGGGAGGGUAUUUCCAGAGGAGAUUUGAAAUGAGAUCCCGGGUUGAUGAGGCAAAGACAUACAGGAUGGUUGUUCAAAUGACAGGAGCUACAGAAGAUGUGCCUCUGUGUUUGUCUUUAUGAAGAGAGAAAAGCUUAAACGGACAGGAACACCAAAUAUUAAAAGUACUAUAUACAGCACAAAACAUUGUUUUAAAAUCUGAAAAUGCUACAAGAACACAGAUUUCACUUUAAAUAAUUUUGCUGAACAUGAUUUUCAAAAGUGAAUGAGUAAUUUUACAUGGUAUGGUGGUAUAGUGGUUGAAUUGUGGCCCCCAAAAAGAGUCUCCACGUUCUAACCCCCAGGACCUGUGAAUGUGACCUUUUUGGGAAAAAGCAUAUUUACUAGUGUAAUUAAGUUAAAGAUAUUUAGAUGAGAUCAUCUUAGAUUACCUGGGUGGGCCCUAAAUCCAUUGACAACUGUCCUUAUAAGAGAUAAAAGAGAAGACAGACACACAGAGCGAGAAGGUGUUGUGAAGAACGGGGCAGAGAUUGGAGCGAUGCAGCCACAGGGCAAGGAAUGCCUGAAGCCACCAGCAGCUGGAAGAAGGAUUCUCUCCUAGAGAUUUCAGAGGGAGCAUGCUCUGCAAACACUUUGAUUUUGGACUUCUGGCCUCCAGAACUCAUCACCCCAGCAGUGACCUCUCACCCUGGAAGCAGUAUUAGUUCCAGUUGGUAGCAGUUUCCAGCCUCUUUCAAUACUCCC
Long non-coding RNA from Equus caballus (horse), 1692 nucleotides. The record is from Ensembl. NCBI's taxonomy places the organism in Eukaryota, Metazoa, Chordata, Mammalia, Perissodactyla, Equidae.